RNAcentral lists this transfer RNA (63 nucleotides) under Occasjapyx japonicus. RNAcentral describes it as "tRNA-Ile". Lineage: Eukaryota; Metazoa; Arthropoda; Diplura; Dicellurata; Japygidae. The record is from RNAcentral.
AAUGAAGUGCCUGAACAAAGGGCUAUUGUGAUAGGAUAGAUUAUGUAUAAAAUGCCUUCAUUA